CCUGUAUAUUUGUUGCCUCGGGUUAAUGAAAUUUUUUUUUUUUCAACGCCACCUGUAUAUUUGUUGCCUCGGGUUAAUGAAACUUUUUUUUUUCAACGCCACCUGUAUAUUUGUUGCCUCGAGUUAAUGAAACUUUUUUUUUUCAAUGCCACCUGUAUAUUUGUUGCCUCGGGUUAAUGAUAACUUUUUUUUUUUCAACGCCAUAUGUAUAUUUGUUGCCUCGGGUUAAUGAUUUAGUUAAUUUGUUUUUUGUUUUUUUUUUUGUUUGGAUAGAUAUGGAUCGAAGGAAGCUUUUAUUGAUCUUAUUGU
This 309-nucleotide long non-coding RNA is filed under the name Malus domestica (apple). RNAcentral describes it as "long non-coding RNA (MDOM_LNC001695)". The record is from RNAcentral. Lineage: Eukaryota; Viridiplantae; Streptophyta; Magnoliopsida; Rosales; Rosaceae.